CCUACGGGUGGCAGCAGUCGAGAAUUUUUCUCAAUGGGGGAAACCCUGAAGGAGCGACGCCGCGUGGAGGAUGAAGGCUUUCGGGUUGUAAACUCCUGUCAUUUGGGAACUAGUACCAGAAGAGGAAGAGACGGCUAACUCUGUGCCAGCAGCCGCGGUAAUACAGAGGUCUCGAGCGUUGUUCGGAUUCAUUGGGCGUAAAGGGUGCGUAGGUGGCGCCGUAAGUCGGGUGUGAAAUUUCGGAGCUUAACUCCGAAACUGCAUUCGAUACUGCGGUGCUUGAGGACUGGAGAGGAGACUGGAAUUCAUGGUGUAGCAGUGAAAUGCGUAGAGAUCAUGAGGAAGACCAGUGGCGAAGGCGGGUCUCUGGACAGUCCUGACACUGAGGCACGAAGGCCAGGGGAGCAAACGGGAUUAGAUACCCUUGUAGUC
This 432-nucleotide ribosomal RNA is filed under the name uncultured bacterium. RNAcentral describes it as "partial 16S ribosomal RNA". It matches the Rfam family "Bacterial small subunit ribosomal RNA", at positions 338 to 795 of the family's 1533-position model. The record is from RNAcentral.